Nothobranchius furzeri (turquoise killifish) is the source of this 1082-nucleotide non-coding RNA. Lineage: Eukaryota; Metazoa; Chordata; Actinopteri; Cyprinodontiformes; Nothobranchiidae. The record is from RefSeq and is a predicted model, not a curated record.
CAUAAGCCCACCGUGGCUCUUCCGCGAUUUAGAUGCAGCCCACCGACUCUGCUCCCCCACCACGGUGGGCUCCAGUCUGAGGCUAAAUCUACCCAAGACACUGGCUGUCAGACUGAUUUAGCUGCAAGAAUGCACUUGUCUAGGCUGAUGUGAAACCUUCCCUGUAGCAAAGCCAGCCAGAAUGGAGUUCACAGCCGCAGUGUGUCUGGUGACCCACGGGGACCAUGAUGAAAAUUCAUCUUCCAGAAGGUCCCAGAGCAGCGACCACACCCCCUGAAAAGACCAAGGUGUGAGGUGUCUGCUGUUGAUUCCAGCUUCCACCUCAGUGACAGUGCAAGCUCAGUGAACUGUUCAAGGUAAAAAAAAAUUAAAACAUUUCAGAAUUUUUAAGAUAUUAACAAUUAAAUAAGUAUGUGAUUACAUCAUGACGGAGGCUACUGAUUCUGCCCCUGUGACACUUGGUGGUGACGUGUGAGCUGAUUCACCUGGAAAACAACUUUUACAUUAAAUAUUUUGUUUUUGCUAUCAAAAGUAAAUUAACUAAUAACCUGCAUUAUGGCAGGACACUCAGCAAAAUAUGGACUCUACACCAUGAGGCAGGCACACGUUAAUAACUCUAUAAGAGCACAUAAGGUGAGCAACACCACAUAUUGUACACUGUCCUGAAUUUGUUUUCUUUCUGCAUCUCAUUAGCCUGGCUGAUCACCUGAUAACUCCUGUCAUCUGGUUAUGACAGCAUGAGGAUGUCCUCACACACCUGUAACCUAUCAGCUCAUCUGGCAGAAUAGAGAGAGAAGAGACAACACCACAUCUCCUGUUCCUGGAAAGCUUUCAGCCAUCCUUCGAUGACUGAGAACCUCCAUCAGCUCUGUCUCCUGUCUGCCUACAAUUAUUAUAAUAAAUAUUGUGUUUGACAAGUUUUUUUGUGCUGCCAAAUAUCUCAUAUAGAUUCCAGUUUUGAUAUUUUAAUGGAUAUUUAUAAAUUACAUUAAUUGAAUUAUCACAAUGCAUGUUUAACUUGCUCUAUUGUGAUGAAUUAAACUAGCACCUCACUGUUAAAAGCUCGUUUUAAUUUCAAGCAU